This 498-nucleotide ribosomal RNA is filed under the name uncultured bacterium. Its description in RNAcentral is "partial 16S ribosomal RNA". It matches the Rfam family "Bacterial small subunit ribosomal RNA", at positions 28 to 507 of the family's 1533-position model. The record is from RNAcentral.
GACGAACGCUGGCGGCGUGCCUAAUACAUGCAAGUCGAGCGGACGGAUGGGAGCUUGCUCCCAGACCGUCAGCGGCGGACGGGUGAGUAACACGUGGGCAACCUGCCUGUAAGACUGGGAUAACUCCGGGAAACCGGGGCUAAUACCGGAUAACUCUUUCCCUCACAUGAGGGAAAGCUGAAAGAUGGCAUCUCGCUAUCACUUACAGAUGGGCCCGCGGCGCAUUAGCUAGUUGGUGAGGUAACGGCUCACCAAGGCGACGAUGCGUAGCCGACCUGAGAGGGUGAUCGGCCACACUGGGACUGAGACACGGCCCAGACUCCUACGGGAGGCAGCAGUAGGGAAUCUUCCGCAAAGGACGAAAGUCUGACGGAGCAACGCCGCGUGAGUGAUGAAGGUUUUCGGAUCGUAAAACUCUGUUGUCAGGGAAGAACAAGUACCGGAGUAACUGCCGGUACCUCGACGGUACCUGACCAGAAAGCCACGGCUAACUACGUG